This is a long non-coding RNA of Pipra filicauda (Wire-tailed manakin), 684 nucleotides long. RefSeq lists it as uncharacterized. The record is from RefSeq and is a predicted model, not a curated record. NCBI's taxonomy places the organism in Eukaryota, Metazoa, Chordata, Aves, Passeriformes, Pipridae. The transcript is spliced from 2 exons.
CUGAAGGUUUCUCCCAGUCUUGGUGAUUCUGGGAUUCUGUGACUGAUACAGCAGCUGCUGAAGUCUGCCUGGAGUAACCUGGUGACCUGAGCAGGAGAUGUUUGACCCAGUUUGGCUUUUUUCAAGCAGCACAGUCUGACACCUUCAAACAACCAAACACGGGAAGGGGCCGUUCCCAUCCCACGAGCCCCUUAAAUCUCCUCACCCCCAUCCUGUGCCGCUGCAAACCACAGGAUCCACAGGAACCCCUUAAGGAAAGCCAGUGUUUGGGGGGGUCCUGCCAGCACCCAGAUACUCCCAGGAGCUUCCCAGCUCCAGAGUUACCAGGAUCCCUCCAUCCCACCCCGGAACGGGCCAGAGGCCGCGGUUCCCCACACGCCUGAGCUGUGCCUGCCAUCUAUUGGUGUUACUUUGGAGUCCGGAUUCCCACUCUUGCUCCUCACACAACAGUUUUUCUAAGAAAUUCAAAGUUUUGCUCCCGGCGGCGGCCGACGCUCCCGGAACUCUGGAAACGGGAUUGCAGAGCUCGGGUUUUCCCAGGAAUCCUGGCUUAGGAGACCGAACAAAGCUGGUGGAACCAUGGCCAGGUGGUAUUUUCAUCCAUAAACUUCUGACCGGCACUGAAGAAGGAAAACAAUAAUUAUCUAAUAAAGAAUUUCAGCCCCAUUUCGGCUUGAAAAGCGA